This 465-nucleotide ribosomal RNA is filed under the name uncultured bacterium. Its description in RNAcentral is "partial 16S ribosomal RNA". It matches the Rfam family "Bacterial small subunit ribosomal RNA", at positions 338 to 795 of the family's 1533-position model. The record is from RNAcentral.
CCUACGGGCGGCUGCAGUGGGGAAUAUUGCGCAAUGGGCGAAAGCCUGACGCAGCGACGCCGCGUGAGGGAUGAAGGUCUUCGGAUCGUAAACCUCUGUCAGCAGGGAAGAACGGUCACUGUGCUAAUCAGCAGUGAAUUGACGGUACCUGCAAGGGAAGCACCGGCUAACUCCGUGCCAGCAGCCGCGGUAAUACGGAGGGUGCGAGCGUUAAUCGGAAUUACUGGGCGUAAAGCGCUCGUAGGCGGUAUGUCAAGUCAGGGGUGAAAUCCCCCGGCUCAACGUGGGAACUGCCUUUGAUACUGGCAAACUGGAGUGUGUGUGAGGAUAGUGGAAUUCGAGGUGUAGGAGUGAAAUCCGUAGAUAUCUGGAGGAACAUCAGUGGCGAAGGCGACUAUCUGGCCCACCACUGACGCUGAGGAGCGAAAGCGUGGGUAGCAAACAGGAUUAGAUACCCGGGUAGUC